GUCUGUGAGGUCCUAGCACCUGCUUCCGGUCGCCGUAUGCGUGGGACCGGAGCACAUAGGUGCGGUACCUUGGGACUACCGGGAGGGCGCGGGGCUCUGCGUCCUCUACACAGAGCGGGAUGGGUCCGUACUUCUGUCCUCUCUUUUGUUACCCAGGCAUGCGGCCUUGAGCGGUGCCCAGCCUUGAAGUGUUGCACCUCACACUUGAGGGCAUUAGCUGUGGGUAUCUGGCCGCAGACCCUGACCCAAACCAGGUAUGAAGAAAAGGUAGGCUUGAGAGAAGGUGCUGCUUUACCGGUCCAACAGAGUGUCCGAACUCCUGCCUCAGCAUCCGGAGUAGCUGGGAUUAUAGGACUGCGCCUCGCACGCAGCUAAUUUUUGUAUUUUUAUUAGAAAUGGGGUUUCACCAUUUGUGCACACCAAGAGAUGUUUGUCACUGCGGCGGCCGUGAACAGCUCGCACUGCACUCCAGCCAUUUAUUAUUUAUUUCGUAUACAAUUAACGACACAAGCUUUGAGUAAACAAGCUUUGAGUAAACACACUUGUGGAUAAUUGACGUGGUUAAGAGAAUAGUUCUAGGAAUGAUUACAGCUCAGGUAUUGAGGUCUAAGGCAAAUACCAUUAGGGGGCAGUCUCCCUAGUCAGCCUCCCCCAAAGAGGGCCAUCUGGCUCCAAGGUUAGUUAAUGGAGGUAGGGUAAACAGACUUAACUGGGAAGCCUCUAUUGCCGCUAGUAUUUACUCUAUGACCUACUGCUGUAAGGUGAGAACCGGCCGCCUUUAGCCUGUUCAGUUAUUUCAGCCGUCCAAAAAUGUUUGUGACUAUUCCCUAUAACUUUCCCUAAUAUUUCCCUGUAAUAUUUCUGCCUCCAGCUUGAGUGAAUGCCCAACAUAGCCUCAGUUUUGCUGUUUGCAAAAUAGCCUGGUUGAUGCUGAGGGCGCACCUUGAUGGAAGCAUCCUACAUGGUAGCGGUUCUUCACCAGGCAGGGUUUUGCCUCCCUGAGAGCAUCCUGUAAUGGCAUGUCAGGAGACAUUUUGGAUGUCACAGCUGGCCUGGAGGGAUGGGGUCACUGGCAUUUAGUGGGGUCCUGACCAGGGAUGGUACUAAAUUUCUGCAGUGCACAGGAAUGUCCUAUGCAACCAUAAGAAAUUACCCACGGGGUCAACAGUGUAGAGGCACAGAAGAUCUGCCAAGUGGCCUGGCUGCUAAGGGUAAUCAGCACCAGAGACAUCACCUGGGAGCCACUUGUAAAUGUAGAAGCAGCGAUUCCAUUCUACCCCAGCCCAGUGAGAAUCUGCAUUUUAACACAAGUGCAUGAGUGUUUGAGAACCUACUGUAAGGAUCUGAGACAUUAACAAACCCGGUCAUAGCACAUGUGAACUUCACCAGCCAAGAGGAAUUCAAGUAGAAUUCAAAGAAUAAAACCCUGUUUUAAACUCAAGACAGAAUUACGCUGAGCUUUACCCAAAGCCUCAACAGAAUUAACACUGGGAAACAUAUGUUGAAACCUCAUGUUCACCAGAGGCUUCACAGAUCUGUAAACCUUCCUGCAUACUCUGUGUAUGUGUAGACUGUUGACCUGCUUGUUUAUGUAUAUAAUUUCUUCAUUUCAAAACUCUGCCCAUUAGGAUAAAGAAUUUGCAUUUCACUAAUUUAAAAAAAGAAAAAAUCCUUCAGGUCAGAGAGGUAAGGCUACUAGCCGAAGUCACACAGCUAGUAAGCCAAGCUGAGAUAUGACUCAGGAUUGAUCCGAUUCUAAAUAUAAAUGAUGUUGAGCUCAUCUUAAAUUGUGAAUGUGACCUUGUUCCUGCUUAUCAUAUUGCUGGGUAGCUCACUUGAAUUUUCUUUUAAAAAGGCACACAAAAACCAGUCUCUUCAUUUUAUGAACACAGAGAUACAAAUUGAUGAAUUCCAAAGGAAAAAUACUCCCUAUAGAGGUCGCUAAUUGGAGCCAACGGUGUACACAGCUACUAAAUUUGAAAUGAGUCAUUUUCAGAAAACUUCUGGGAUACGUCUCCCUUUCAAAUAAAAAUAGUAUGGUUUUAUUUAGAAUCUUCACAUAAACUGGAUACAGGCAUACCUGAAAUUUUGUGGAUUCAGUUCCAGACCAUCACAGUAAAGCAAACAUUGCAAUAAAGAGCUGAGAAACCAAUUGUCAGAAACAAGGCAUCCCCUUUGCCCAGGCCACCAAAUUGGGGUCCGCAUCGUUCAAGAUGAAGAUGAGCCGCCACAAGGAGUUCGUCAGCUUGUUUACCGAUGUCAUGCUGGGAGAUGACCCCGAAGUGCAGCGUGGCAAGCCAGACCCCAACAUCUUCCUAGCUUGUGCACUAGGUUCUCUCCCCCUCCUGCUAUGGAGAAGGCUUUAAAAUCUGAAAAGAACACAUUAGUGUUUCAUCCACACUCAUCAUGGCACCUACACUGUCAAACUCUCCACAAUAAUUGGGCACCGAAAACAGAGUGACCAACUACCUCUUUGCAAAAAAUUCAUAUCCAUCUUCAACCACCUGAUGGGCUCUACAUGUAAGAUCCAAAUCAUGCUUAUGGAGACAUUUUGCAACCACUUCUGCACCAAAUAUGAAGUACACUCCUCUGUCAUUUUCACCCCAGCCUAAGACAUCUUUAUUGGGGUCAGACCACAAAAGAUCACAAAGAAGACCUUGAUCUGGUACAUCAGUUGGUCGCAUAAUUCGCCGGAUCUGCUCCAUAGAUUGAAGAUCUGGUGAUAAACCUCCAUGACAGCAGAAUAUCUUCUCAUCCACGAUGGCUGCUAUCGGUAAACAGUUAAAACAGUCUGUGAAAGUUUUCCAUAGUUUAAUGUUGUAUCUUCUUUUACAUUCAUCAUGAAAUCCAUAAAUUCUGUUGAUGUUGGCACAUUCAUGGUUCCCUCUGAGAAGAAAAGAAUUCUCAGGAUAUUUGAUUUUGUAGGCCAGUAAGAGGCAGAUCGUCUCCAAUGACUGCUUUCCCCUGUCCACAUAGUCCCCAAGAAACAGGUAGUUGCUUUCUGGCGGGAAACCACCUUACUCAAAAAGUCGCAGCAAAUCGUAGUAUUGGCCAUGGAUGUCACCACAUAUUUUGAGUGGUGCCUCAAGUUCUAGUAGGAUAGGCUGAUUGAGAAAGAUUUCACGAGAUUUUAAACACAGUCCUCUGACUUCAUUCUCCUGAAGCUGGACGAAUUUACCAGGCUUGGACCCUUUCACUUCCAGCAGCGGUUGGAUGAUGCUGUCGAUGUUGAGUUUGUCUAAAUCCUCCAUCGCCUUCCCACUGCCUACCCUCCCGCAGGGGCGCCGCCGCCGGCUCGCGCCCAGGACUCACACCUCCUUUCCCACGCCACGAGCAGAGGCGGUGGCAGCAGCCGCGGCGGGUCCCCCCCACCCCGCCUCCCCGCUCCCUGCUUCCUCCUCUCCCCACUGGAACCGCGAGAGCUUGAGUGUUGUUUUAUACUAACUAUUGAAUACUUGCAAAAAUGAUCAGGGAAUCAGAGCUUACAAUACAUUGACCACUGCACCCAACACCUUGGGUGGCAGAAUGUUGUCAGCACAUCCGCAGCCCCAGUGUGCCGCCUCCUGAAUUCUAUCCUGCUCACUCUACUGCGCACCAUAAAUGAUCUCCCCAAUUUUUGUGGUAUUAUUCUCUGGUUUUUCUUUAUAGUUUUACCCUCUGUGAAACAAUAUAGAGUCAGAAUGUUGACCAAGCAUACAACUUUAUUAUCCUCUCCGGCCACCGUUUUCAAACACCUGGAGAGAUCAUCACACUCAAAAGAAUAAAAUAUCUUCCAGCCAUUUUUGGUCAUAAAACAUUUUCAUCUCAGAAAUUGGAAUAGUCAGUCCCUCUUAAUAGUCAAAACUUCAAAACUGACGACAUUUGAUCUUUUUUCUUCCCUACCUGAAUAUGUUUAGACAGGUGCCUCAGGUAGCCUGCAGAGGGCAGAGGUUGCCUCCUUUUUCUUGGUGCUUUCCAGGGCUCCUUGGAGAUUUUCAGGUGAACUCCUUCACAGGAGAUGAGGAAGAGUAUCUAUAUUCUGCUGGGUGCCUAUAGUUCUGUCUUAUUCUCAGAAAGUCCAGUACCACCAAGGAAUUCCAUGCCAGCCUCCUCUAAUUUAGGAAAUGUGGGGUCCAUCUAAUUUAGGAAAUGUGGAUUGAUCCCAUUACUGCAGCCCCUCCUGAUGCUGCCUCUCUUCUGUACACUAGACACCCCAGCUGAGUGAGAACGUAGUCCACAAUCCAAUUUAACUUUCCCAGAAAUGGGUCAGACACCCCUUCUCCAUAUCUUCCAACUGCAAGGAUCAUUUCAAAGCAUUGUCAGGAUCUCUUUGAAGCUCGCCUAUUAGGCAAGGGACCAGUAAUAAUAACCUGUUUUCCCCUGAUUUUUCCAAAGAAAACUCUUCACCAGCAUUAGAUUUGAUCUAGUUGUUAUAUUCUCAAAGUAAGUGAAAAUAUUUGCCAGUCUUGAAGCAAGUUUUAGAGUCUCCCAGUACAUUGUCAGCAUUUCCUAUUGAAAACCCACUAUAUGCAAUUUGCCCCUACGCUUACAUUUAUAGCUGGUUUGGGAACCUCAGCUAAUAUUUCUAGAUUUUUAAGUUCUGCCAAUCUGAUAAGUACAAAACGAUAUCUGUAUCUCAUUUUCUGAUGCUUAAUGAGAUUGAACAUCUUUCCAUAUGACUUUUUUUAACCUCUUUUACAAAGUCUUCAGGUAUUUUCACUUUUUUUUUUCUUUUUGUAUACAUUUGUAAGAGUUUUUAAUUUAUUCUAGAGACUGAGUCAUGGUGAGUUACAUGUUGCAAAUAUAUUUUAUUUAUAACUUGUUUUUUUUCUCUUUAUGACAUUUUUUUACAAACUGAAAUUUGUUGAAUGUAGUCAAGUUUGUGUCUCUUUUCAAUUAUAGCUUUUGAUUAUUAUUUUGUCAGUUUAAGAAAUGCUUUCCUGUCCGUGCAACAUGAGAUUGUCUCCUUAAUUGUUUUGUGAAGUGUUAUAGCUUUGACUUUGGCAUUUAAAUUUUUCAACCUUCUGGAUUUGAAUUUUGUGUAGAGUAUGAGGUGUAGUUUCAGUUCUCCUUUUUUCUCUGUGUAUAAAUAGCCACUGUCCUAGCGCCAUUUAUUUCAUAUUUUUCCACACAUCCAAAAAUCUCUUUCUGUUAUACAUGAAAAUUCAAGGGACUUAAGUCUGUUUCUCGGAUCUCGACUCUUUUCAUUGGUCAAUGUGUCUGUUCCUGCCCCAAAUGGCUCUUUAUCUUUUAAAUUGUCUCAUGUAUCUGUGCCAUUCCUAAUUCUACAUGGAUUUAACCCCAAAACUUUAUAUUAAUUCUAAAUAGAAUUAGUUUUUCAGUCUUCUUUUUUUCAGAAGAGUCUUGGUUAUUUACGGCUCUUUCUUCUUUCAUAUACAUUUUAGAACGAAUUUUUCCUAAAAUCUUGUUGGCAUUUGACUGAAACUGCAUAAAAUUAUCUAGAUUGAGUAAUGACUUGUUGAAAAUAUUGUGCCUUCCUAUUCAAGAUUAUGCUAUAACUCUUCAUUUAUGUUUACUUUAUUAUCUUUCAGUAUUUCUAUAAUUUUUCAAUAAAAUGUUUUCAAACCAGUUUUAUUCUAUUCAGCACUAACUUUUUAUAUUUUUAUGCCUUUCAUGAAUGCUAUCUUCUGAAAAUAUAUAUUCUGUUUUUUACCAGUAUUGUAGAUAAAAAGUAUUAAUGUUUUCAAAAAUCCUCAGUAAUUCUAAUAAUGUUUCUAAAUAUUCCUUUAGGUUUGAGGGUUUUUUUAGAUAAGCAAUGAAUAAGCAGCCAAAGAUAACAGCUUUUUUCUUUGUAAUAUUUAAACACUUUAUUGUUUGUUUAUUUUAUUGAGCUAGACUUCUCCCCAAUAUGAAGCUCAAUGUUAUUAUUUAAUAUUAUAUUAAUUGUAAAAAUAAACUAGAUGUUCCUCCUCAAAGAGAGUUCCCUCUCCAUCUAAUUAUGAAUUAAUCAUAACUUCUCUUAGAGGCAAAAUUUAUUCAAAGACCUGUGCUAACAUUCUUAAAUAUCUACUAACCAUAAUAAAGAACAAUGUUCUUUAUGUUCUUCGCUUCCACAAUUUAGUCUAAAUAUUUGACCUCUCAUGCUUAUGCUGGUCCAAAUGGGCAUUAGAGUAUAGCCUGUUCCUUUUCCUUAUUUGGAGGUGUUUUUACCUUUCUCAACAUUCCACAAGUUAAUUCCUGCUUCCUUUGUUGUCCUCUGCCUUUUGCCUCUUUUAAAAAGUUCUAAGUUACUAGCCAAUCCAGACAAAUACAGAAUGUGAGGUUCUAUUCCAACCAGUGGAAACCAGACACGGCAGUAGGGUGAACGCUUUGGGUUAUAAAUGACCCUGUCUCCUUUGUUUGGUUUCCUCCAGUGGCAAAACGGCUGAUGCGUGUACCCCUUCUGCAGGAGUAAAAAUGGCCUUACAGAGGAAAUUAAAUUAGUGUUCAGGUACUAUUUCUUUAUGGCACUGGGGAACAAGCAUUUCUAAUGUAUUAAUCACAUAAUACAAUCCUACUUACUUAUUGUUAAACAGGAAAACUUUUUCCUUUUCACAAUUAUAUAAGAUGUUUCAAUUAAGUUUCUUAAAGUAGAUAUUUAUCAGGAGAAGGGAGUUACUUUCUAUUCCUAAUUUGCUCAGAAUUUGUAAAAAAAAUUCAGGAAUAUAAUAGUGAUUUUAUCAAAUGCUUUUUCUUCAUCUGCUAAAAUGAUCAUUAUAGGUUUUUCUGUGAUUAAUGAGUUGGUGUUUUUUAAUGUUAAUCCAGUUUUGUAUUUCUAAUUUGUAUUUUUGUAUGUCCAAUCUGUUCAUUAUGUGAUUGAAUUGUUAUUUAAUUAUUCUUUAUGCAUUGUUUUAUUCAUAUUUUGUUUAAGAUAUAUGCUCCUAUAUUUAAUAAAAAUGUCUUUCCUUGUAUGAUUUGCUUAUGCAAGUCAACUAGUCUCAGAAAAUUAACUGGGGUAAGUUUCUUAUGUUUUGCUCCUUGGAGGAGUUACAUUGGUUUGGCAUUAUGUGCUGUCUGUGAGAAUUAACAUAUGAAACCAAUUGGGUCUAGAUUUUUCUUUGGUGGAAAGAUUUUUAAACUACUGAUUCAGUUUUUGUGUUUUUUUUUUUUUUCUUUAUUUUUUAGUUUGUCAGUGUCUUCUUGAGUCAGUUAUAUUUUUCUAGGAUUUUGAACGUUUAAGUUUUCCAGUUUGUUGGUGUAGAGCUGUCAAGGCUAUCAUUUUUAUCUCUUUAGUACUUAUAUUUAUGGGUUUUACAACUUCCAGUAGUGUGUGUUUGUUUCUUUUUCUUCAAACAGACUUGCAAGAGGUUUUUCAGUCUUAGUACAUUAGUAUUUACAGUACUAAGAAUAAAGUAUGAAGUAAUUUAUGGAGGGUUUAAUUCUCUACUUUAUGGAGGCUUAAAGACAGCCUAGCUUCCUGUGGUGAAUAUGCAGUAUAUUGAUUUCUAUCCUAUUUUCACUUCUAAUCUCUAUAUUUAAGGCUUUAAGUUUUCCACUAGGUACUGCCCUAUUGGUAUCCUCUUGCUUUUUAACUAUUGUUUUCAUGUAUGUUCAGUUUCCAUUACAAUUUAUUUUUUGACCCUGGGUUUUUUAUUUUAUUUAUUUGUUUAUUUAUUUAUUUAUUUAUUUAUUACAUUCUUAGGUUAUUGGAGAACAGAUGGUGUUUGGUUACAUGUUCUUUAGUGGUGAUUUAUGAGAUUUUGGAGCGCCCAUCACCUGAGCGGUGUACACUGCACCCUAUUUGUAGUGGAAACCCUUGAGAUCUAAAACGUGUGUUUUAAAAUUUCUGUAUGGGAUUUUGCUAGUGAUCUCUGCAUUCUUGAUUUCUAACAAUGCGUAUGGGAAAAAUGUGUCUAUAUACACUAACGUGAUGAAAUUUAUUGAAAACCUGCUUUAUGAACUAGUAAGUGGUCAAUUUUUGUUACUAUUUUAUGUACUACAUUAUAUUGGAAGAAUGUAUUUUUACUUUGCAGGCUGUAAUGUUGUCAUAUGAAGUUGAGAUGUUUCUUUUUCUUAUAUAUUCUAUUUUUAAGUUUUCGUCAUGUAGAGAAAUUAUUAAAUUGCUGAGCAAUG
Non-coding RNA from Macaca mulatta (Rhesus monkey), 8052 nucleotides. NCBI's taxonomy places the organism in Eukaryota, Metazoa, Chordata, Mammalia, Primates, Cercopithecidae. The record is from RefSeq and is a predicted model, not a curated record.